This 344-nucleotide unclassified non-coding RNA is filed under the name soil metagenome. RNAcentral describes it as "partial contains 5.8S ribosomal RNA, internal transcribed spacer 2, and large subunit ribosomal RNA". The stretch from base 1 to 120 matches the Rfam family "5.8S ribosomal RNA", at positions 35 to 154 of the family's 154-position model. The record is from RNAcentral.
GAUGAAGAACGUAGCAAAUGCGAUAAGUAAUGCGAAUUGCAGAAUUUCCGUGAGUCAUCGAGUCUUUGAACGCACAUUGCGCCCCCUGGUAUUCCGGGGGGCAUGCCUGUCCGAGCGUCAUUGCUGCCCUCAAGCACGGCUUGUGUGUUGGGCCCCGUCCCCUCCCCCGGGGACGGGCCCGAAAGGCAGCGGCGGCACCGCGUCCGAUCCUCGAGCGUAUGGGGCUUUGUCACCCGCUCUGUAGGCCCGGCCGGCGCCAGCCGACACCCAACUUUUAUUUCUAAGGUUGACCUCGGAUCAGGUAGGGAUACCCGCUGAACUUAAGCAUAUCAAUAAGCGGAGGA